ACGGGAGGCAGCGGUAGGGAAUAUUGCACAAUGGGGGAAACCUUGAUGCAGCGACGCCGCGUGAGUGAUUGAAGUAUUUCGGUAUGUAAAGCUCUAUCAGCAGGGAAGAUAAUGACGGUACCUGCAUAAGAAGCCCCGGCUAACUACGUGCCAGCAGCCGCGGUAAUACGUAGGGGGCAAGCGUUAUCCGGAUUUACUGGGUGUAAAGGGAGUGUAGGUGGUCUGGUAAGUCAGAUGUGAAAGCCCGCGGCUCAACUGCGGGACUGCAUUUGAAACUAUCAGACUAGAGUGCAGGAGAGGAAAGUGGAAUUCCUAGUGUAGCGGUGAAAUGCGUAGAUAUUAGGAAGAACACCAGUGGCGAAGGCGGCUUUCUGGACUGUAACUGACACUGAGGCUCGAAAGCGUGGGGAGCAAACAGGAUUAGAUACCCUGGUA
This 435-nucleotide ribosomal RNA is filed under the name uncultured Lachnospiraceae bacterium. RNAcentral describes it as "partial 16S ribosomal RNA". It matches the Rfam family "Bacterial small subunit ribosomal RNA", at positions 341 to 792 of the family's 1533-position model. Lineage: Bacteria; Bacillati; Bacillota; Clostridia; Lachnospirales; Lachnospiraceae. The record is from RNAcentral.